ACAGCUCAGUGCUUGCAUAGCUGAGCAGGACAGCCUCCUACAGUGCUUUGGGUCCUUCCAACUCAUCUCUAAGCACAAUUUUUCCUUUGCUAUGCCCAAAUCUAUCCUUAUACCUGUCACAGAACAGAGACUGAUUUUUAUCUACUCCUCCAAAAAAUAGAAGAGCAAAAGCUUUGCUUUAGAUUUUUGUUGUUGUUCUGUUUGUUUUAAAAACACAUGCUGAUAAGCUACAGCUGUAGGCCAGGCAGCCCAAAGUAAAGUUGAAACAGCUGUGAGUGAUGGGGUAGCAAACCUUGUGAUGAAUAAUGCAUUGGUAAUGAGUAGCACAAUUGCAGAGACACUUGCAAUCAGCAAGAUCUUCAGCCUGAAUUUUCACUGUUGAAAUUAAAAGCAAAUUUCCUUAACAACAAGCUAGAGCAGGAAACACUGUCCAGAAACAACAUUGCCUACAUCCACCAACCCCUGUGAGGAGAGCUGUGUAUAUGGUGUGGGUGCUGUGUGAGGUGAACCAAUCUUCUGGGGUACACUUCUGCCCCAAGUGUGAGGGACACGCUUUGCUUAUGGCCUUGCAAACAAACUCCUCAGAAACAAAAUGGCACUGUGUAGCCUUGUGAGGCUGGCUAGGGCAUCCCAUGAAGAGAACAUGAAGAGACAGCCCAGGGUUUUUGAAACAUAGGACACAGGCUGGACUGUGGCGGACAUUUAACAGAGAGAGCUUAGUGAAACACCUCAUGAGGGCUGCUUUCAUUCCCUACAGCUGAAAAUGUUUGUCAGCUUUAUUCCAAGUGGACCCUCUUUGCUCUGUCUAGUCGUAUUUUGGUGCUUCCCUCACAGGCUUGCCCAAGCAAGCCUCACCUGCCCUCCUCACAGGGCGGGAGGGGGCUGCAGGCCAGGCCCUGCACACCUGCACCCAUUGCUCCAUCACAGCCCCACGCCAGGUGCCAGGCCUGUGGAGGGGCUGCAGUCCUGAGGCACUCUCCAGAGCAGCGUGGCACAGCAGAGCGGGCAGGGGCUCCCUCACGGUAAACAGUGGCACAGAAACUGGAUUUUGAGAGACAUGCAGCCUGAUUCUGAAAUUCACAUGACAGCUCUUCAGGGAGCCAGGGUCAAAGGCAGUUUCUGAGUUGGAAGGGAGGACUAGUGACCGAGAAGCCAUGGGGAUAAAUUCAGACCUGGUGUAAGCAUAUGAAGCAUUGCUGAAGUCAAGAGAGUCGUGACCAGUUACAGCAAAGCUGAAUUGGACUCCUGAGUUUUGCUGAAGUGGCUUUCAUGUAAGAAUACAUAGGCCAAAGGGCUAGCUGAGGGCAUUUCCAGGGCGUCAAAUACACAGUGCAGAUGUGGAUUGUUUUUGCAUUUUUGCCAGUGAUUUUUCUUUUAAUGCCUAAAACUGUAAUUAGGUGAAAUGAAUACACUACUAACUUUCCUGAUAAAAAAUGGGAGUUUCCUUUAUGUUCCAUAUAGAAGUCAUUAGUGGUGGGGAAGAGAGCUAUUUGUGAACAGGAAGGGAUCUAAUACACAUAUGAGCGUUCAGCUCUUCUGCUGUGAAUCAGUGUUAUAUUUCUGGUGAUGGUACAGUAGCAAGAAUAAUGCUGCACUACUUUGUAACUAAACGUACCUACUAUGGAAGGGUGAUUAUAAGAUUCUCUGGUAGUAAAGACAAAGUACUUGGUAGCCAAGUACUUCGGGGGGGAAGGAAUGUGUACAGAGUUCCUGGUAGCAAAGUGUGUUCUGACCAAUAUCAAUGUUGCUUUGCUGUCAAAGGGAAAGAGUAAUAUAGGAGUGGUACCUACUGAAGUAGCUCAACUGAUGUCUUGCUAGAGUUGUAAAUGAUUCAUCCGUUCAUAAUAAUUUCAUGAAACUGAGGGUUUGCUCAGAAGAGUUAGUGUUUCAUAAACAACUUAUUUGUCUCUACUGUUUAUGGUUUUGAUUCUACAUCUGAAGUGUGGAAAUAUAAAAUGUUUCUACCCCUUCUCCUUUCAACAUUUUCGCCAAGCAGCCGAUCAAUGUCUUCUGCCAUACUAUUAAAUGGAUUUUGAAAAACUCUUCAAACCGUAUCAGCCUCAUAUCCUUAUUUAGUUCUUCGAAUUUGCCCUCAGCUGGGAAUUCUGCAGGCAACUGUGAUUCUGUUGUGUUAAACACUUGAAGUGUUUCAUUCAUCAUCAUUUCUAGUCCUUUUCUGAUGCAAUGUAGUUUGUGCUUUGUCUUUCUUGAAAACUGAAUGGCUGUUAAAUUAUCCAUUUAUCUUCCUUCAGAUUUGCUGUACAAUUUGAGUUCCCGCUAUUGGCUGUCUCUUCUACCUUAUCUGCCAACUUUUCAAUCUACUUCCUCAGAUCUUUAUAUGCAUUUCCAUACGCGACUGCAUGUCCUUCGCAACACAUUGAGCAGAUAAUCCUAAAUAAAACAGCAACAGAAACUGUAGUAUUAUGAAUUAUUCACUUCUCUCAGAUCAUGGUGAAAGCCUCAUUGAAGCCAAGCUUCAAUGAAGUUGAUGGCAAAUGUUCAUUAUUCUGUAUUCUCUCAAAUAUCUCGGUUGUUGACCUGCCCUUUCAGUUGAGAUCUUUCUGGCAUUAGAUAACUGAGAAGUAAUUUGAAGAAGUACACUUGUCUGAAGGGAAAAAUGUUUCUUCUGUCCCUUCUUUCAACCAAUUUGGGAAAACUGGUACAUUCCUGAAGUUGUCAACACUAAUACAAUGUUUCAUCAGUAAUCUCACCAAGUUACAAAAAUCCUAACAAAAAUAAUUUCCAAAGCCAAAAAGAAGCCCUGCCUGCUCUCAGGAAAUGAAAAAGAGGAUGAAGAUCUUUGUGUCUCUUGUAAAAAGCUGUUUGUGAUACUUACUGGCACAAAAAUCCUUGUUCCAAAACCAGCAAAAUUGUGCCUUUCCAUAUCACACUUAGUGACUGACUUUCAAAAUUACAAGUAAAAGCAUUCCUUCUUCUUUUUCUGGUUUUCUUUUAUUGUAUAGCUCUUCACCUUUUCUCUCCAUUAGUAUAUGAGUAGCACAAAAAAUAGACUCUUAGGUUAAGAAUAAAGAGGUAACAAAAACAGUCUGCUGAUGAUUUAUCCCAUUACUGUAAGCUGUAAUACAGUCAGAGUACCUGAGUUUUCUGAGAGUUCAAGAGCAUUUAUUCCAGGUAGCCUCGCUUAUGUUCAUCAUUGGUAGACAAGCAGCAAGGGCAACAAAUGUGCUGAACCCAGCCACAUUGCUAUUUCAAGGCUACAGAGAGAUCCUUCUGCAGUGCAAAGUCUCUUUUCUCUGUGACAAACCCUCAUCCCUAACAUAAUCUUUAGCUACCAACUCCCCUCCAGCGCUGGCAUGUGGCAUAAUUUGCCUGAUUAAAUUUCCUCUGAACC
This is a long non-coding RNA of Anas platyrhynchos (mallard), 3352 nucleotides long. RefSeq lists it as uncharacterized. Lineage: Eukaryota; Metazoa; Chordata; Aves; Anseriformes; Anatidae. The record is from RefSeq and is a predicted model, not a curated record.